RNAcentral lists this ribosomal RNA (393 nucleotides) under uncultured bacterium. RNAcentral describes it as "bacterial SSU rRNA". It matches the Rfam family "Bacterial small subunit ribosomal RNA", at positions 36 to 417 of the family's 1533-position model. The record is from RNAcentral.
CGGCCGCGUCGACCUGGCGGCGUGCCUAAUACGUGCAAGUCGAACGGAAAGGCCCCCUUGUGGGGUACUCGAGUGGCGAACGGGUGAGUAACACGUGAGUAACCUACCCUUGACUUUGGGAUAACUUCAGGAAACUGGGGCUAAUACCGGAUAGGAGCUCCUGCUGCAUGGUGGGGGUUGGAAAGUUUCGGCGGUUGGGGAUGGACUCGCGGCUUAUCAGCUUGUUGGUGGGGUAGUGGCUCACCAAGGCUUUGACGGGUAGCCGGCCUGAGAGGGUGACCGGCCACAUUGGGACUGAGAUACGGCCCAGACUCCUACGGGAGGCAGCAGUGGGGAAUAUUGCACAAUGGGCGGAAGCCUGAUGCAGCAACGCCGCGUGCGGGAUGACGGCCU